GAAUUCGAUUCUCCUGGAAACGGGUGGUAAUGCCGAUGCUCCAGUUGGAUGCAUGUCCUUCUGGGAAAGAUUAUAUCGGUAUGGGAUGGGGUCGCGUCCUAUCAGGUAGUCGGCGGGGUAACGGCCCACCGAGCCUACGACGGGUAGCCGGCCUGAGAGGGCGACCGGCCACAUUGGGACUGAGAUACGGCCCAGACUCCUACGGGAGGCAGCAGUGGGGAAUAUUGCACAAUGGGCGCAAGCCUGAUGCAGCGACGCCGCGUGCGGGAUGACGGCCUUCGGGUUGUAAACCGCUUUUGAUUGGGAGCAAGCCUUCGGGUGAGUGUACCUUUCGAAUAAGCACCGGCUAACUACGUGCCAGCAGCCGCGGUAAUACGUAGGGUGCAAGCGUUAUCCGGAAUUAUUGGGCGUAAAGGGCUCGUAGGCGGUUCGUCGCGUCCGGUGUGAAAGUCCAUCGCUUAACGGUGGAUCCGCGCCGGGUACGGGCGGGCUUGAGUGCGGUAGGGGAGACUGGAAUUCCCGGUGUAACGGUGGAAUGUGUAGAUAUCGGGAAGAACACCAAUCACUAGUG
RNAcentral lists this ribosomal RNA (571 nucleotides) under uncultured Bifidobacterium sp. RNAcentral's name for it is "bacterial SSU rRNA". It matches the Rfam family "Bacterial small subunit ribosomal RNA", at positions 133 to 721 of the family's 1533-position model. The record is from RNAcentral. Lineage: Bacteria; Bacillati; Actinomycetota; Actinomycetes; Bifidobacteriales; Bifidobacteriaceae.